RNAcentral lists this ribosomal RNA (253 nucleotides) under uncultured bacterium. Its description in RNAcentral is "partial 16S ribosomal RNA". It matches the Rfam family "Bacterial small subunit ribosomal RNA", at positions 524 to 776 of the family's 1533-position model. The record is from RNAcentral.
UACGGAAGGUGCGAGCGUUAAUCGGAAUUACUGGGCGUAAAGCGCACGUAGGUGGUUUUAUAAGUCGGGGGUGAAAGCCUGUGGCUCAACCACAGAAUUGCCUUCGAUACUGUAGAGCUUGAGACCGGAAGAGGUAAGUGGAACUGCGAGUGUAGAGGUGAAAUUCGUAGAUAUUCGCAAGAACACCAGUGGCGAAGGCGGCUUACUGGUCCGGUUCUGACGCUGAGGCGCGAAAGCGUGGGGAGCAAACAGG